This 453-nucleotide ribosomal RNA is filed under the name uncultured bacterium. Its description in RNAcentral is "bacterial SSU rRNA". It matches the Rfam family "Bacterial small subunit ribosomal RNA", at positions 335 to 799 of the family's 1533-position model. The record is from RNAcentral.
ACUCCUACGGGAGGCAGCAGUGGGGGAAUAUUGGACAAUGGGGGCGAAACCCUCGAUCCAGCCAUGCCGCGUGAGUGAUGAAGGCCUUAGGGUUGUAAAGCUCUUUCAGCGAGGAGGAUAAUGACGUUACUCGCAGAAGAAGCCCGGCUAACUUCGUGCCAGCAGCCGCGGUAAUACGAAGGGGGCUAGCGUUGUUCGGAAUCACUGGGCGUAAAGCGCACGUAGGCGGAUUGAUAAGUUAGGGGUGAAAUCCCGGGGCUCAACCUCGGAACUGCCUUUGAUACUGUCAGUCUUGAGUCCGAGAGAGGUGAGUGGAACUCCGAGUGUAGAGGUGAAAUUCGUAGAUAUUCGGAAGAACACCAGUGGCGAAGGCGGCUCACUGGCUCGGUACUGACGCUGAGGUGCGAAAGCGUGGGGGAGCAAACAGGGAUUAGAUACCCUGGUAGCACAGAG